Molecule: ribosomal RNA, 119 nt
Filed under: Pteropus alecto (black flying fox)
Lineage: Eukaryota; Metazoa; Chordata; Mammalia; Chiroptera; Pteropodidae
Also listed under: 1 other name
Source: RNAcentral
AUCUAUGGCCAUGCUACCCUGAACAAGCCCGAUCCCGUCUGAUCUCAGAAGCUAAACAGGGUCAGGCCUGGUUAGUACUUGGAUAGCAGAUCACCUAGGAAGACCAGGAGCUGUAGGCG